RNAcentral lists this ribosomal RNA (498 nucleotides) under uncultured bacterium. RNAcentral's name for it is "partial 16S ribosomal RNA". It matches the Rfam family "Bacterial small subunit ribosomal RNA", at positions 29 to 523 of the family's 1533-position model. The record is from RNAcentral.
AUUGAACGCUGGCGGCAUGCUUUACACAUGCAAGUCGAACGGUAACAGGCCGCAAGGUGCUGACGAGUGGCGAACGGGUGAGUAAUGCAUCGGAACGUGCCCAGUCGUGGGGGAUAACGCAGCGAAAGCUGUGCUAAUACCGCAUACGAGCUAUGGAUGAAAGCGGGGGACCGUAAGGCCUCGCGCGAUUGGAGCGGGCGAUGUCAGAUUAGCUAGUUGGUGGGGUAAAGGCCCACCAAGGCGACGAUCUGUAGCUGGUCUGAGAGGACGACCAGCCACACUGGGACUGAGACACGGCCCAGACUCCUACGGGAGGCAGCAGUGGGGAAUUUUGGACAAUGGGCGCAAGCCUGAUCCAGCAAUGCCGCGUGCAGGAAGAAGGCCUUCGGGUUGUAAACUGCUUUUGUACGGAACGAAACGGUCUGGGUUAAUACCCUGGGCUAAUGACGGUACCGUAAGAAUAAGCACCGGCUAACUACGUGCCAGCCGCCGCCGUAA